GGGGCCUUUAAGUGCCGGAGCCCAGCGAGCGGAGCAGUUAGGAGCCUGUGAACCAGACAUGGAAGCGGGGCAGCCAUAAAAAAGCAACACGUGAAGGAAAGCGUCCAGCCAGCCAUCAAAGAUGCCACGGCGUGCAAAAAGAUUACAAACAGAGCCGGAGCUCACUAUGAACAGUUUUGUCUUGUACCCUGGACAGGAUAUCAUCUUAUACUGUAAGUUUAUUAAAGAGACACUACAGUAUAGAUGAUGUACUAUCCAGGGUUUCAUUCCCCCUACGGCACUACACAGACACACACUCAGGUCCAACUGACUGCAGUAGCUGCGCAAUCUUUAGAGGAGGGCCAUCAAACCGUUACCAUUACUGAGUUUUAGCAAUGGUAAGGGUUAUAUGGCCCUCGCUCGCUGUCUUCUGGACUGGGAGGACGAGGAAAUUUGGUGAUUGAUGUGUUAUUCAUGAGCUCCUGGAGGACAUCUUCUGAUCCCAUUUUUGAGAUGUACUUGUGGAUGCAUGUAAAAUAAAGCUUAUGGCUCCCAAACAAA
Long non-coding RNA from Micropterus salmoides (largemouth bass), 540 nucleotides. RefSeq lists it as uncharacterized. Lineage: Eukaryota; Metazoa; Chordata; Actinopteri; Centrarchiformes; Centrarchidae. The record is from RefSeq and is a predicted model, not a curated record. The transcript has 2 exons.